CGGCGGACGGGUGAGUAAUGUCCGGGAAACUGCCUGAUGGAGGGGGAUAACUACUGGAAACGGUAGCUAAUACCGCAUAACGUCUUCGGACCAAAGUGGGGGACCUUCGGGCCUCACGCCAUCGGAUGUGCCCAGAUGGGAUUAGCUAGUAGGUGGGGUAAUGGCUCACCUAGGCGACGAUCCCUAGCUGGUCUGAGAGGAUGACCAGCCACACUGGAACUGAGACACGGUCCAG
Molecule: ribosomal RNA, 235 nt
Filed under: uncultured bacterium
Lineage: Bacteria
Description: partial 16S ribosomal RNA
Rfam family: Bacterial small subunit ribosomal RNA
Source: RNAcentral